ACCUCCGUGGCGCAAUCGGUUAGCGCGUUCGGUUGUUAACCGAAAGGUGGGAGGUUCGAUUCCUCCCGGUGGCG
Molecule: transfer RNA, 74 nt
Filed under: Dermacentor andersoni
Lineage: Eukaryota; Metazoa; Arthropoda; Arachnida; Ixodida; Ixodidae
Description: transfer RNA asparagine (anticodon GUU)
Rfam family: tRNA
About the family: Transfer RNA (tRNA) molecules are approximately 80 nucleotides in length. Their secondary structure includes four short double-helical elements and three loops (D, anti-codon, and T loops).
Source: RNAcentral